Long non-coding RNA from Lucilia cuprina (Australian sheep blowfly), 562 nucleotides. RefSeq lists it as uncharacterized. The record is from RefSeq and is a predicted model, not a curated record. The transcript has 2 exons. Lineage: Eukaryota; Metazoa; Arthropoda; Insecta; Diptera; Calliphoridae.
GUAAGAUAGAUAGAUAGAUAGUAAGAUAGAUAGAUAGAUAGAUAGAUAGAUAGAUAGAUAAAUAGAUAGAUAGAUAGAUAGAUAGAUAGAUAGAUAUAUUACGAUCAUUACUAAUUUAAAUCCAAAGAAUUUAUUUGUGUUACAGCUUAAAGAAUUCAUACAUUAAGCAAAAUAAAUCAACAUCUUUUAAUAAACAAAUCCAUGGAUUCAAGAAACCAUUAAGAUUUAAAAAAUAAAACGCAAUGAAAUGAGGAACGCAGACGUGAAGACCAACGUAAACGCCGUUAAACAAAUAAAACAUAUUUAUAAUAACUGGAGAAAAGGGAGAAUGUUUAUUUACUGUAGGCUGAACUGAACUAAAAAGUUAAAAUAAAUACACAUUUUUUUCAAAAAUAUUAAUUUAAUGCAUUUCUUUUUGUUAAAACAUCAUUGUUGUAACUUCUAUAAAAUUUUCAGUUUUUCCCACAUAUCACAAAAAUUAUUCUCAAAAUUCUUGUAAGAACGUUUUAUUGUAAAAAUAAAAAAACAUAAAUAAAUAAAACAAAGUUUUGUGUAAUAGAUA